UACGAAGGGGGGCUAGCGUUGUUCGGAAUUACUGGGCGUAAAGCGUGCGCAGGCGGUGAUGUAAGACAGGUGUGAAAUCCCCGGGCUCAACCUGGGAAUUGCGAUGGAGACUGCAAGGCUAGAAUCUGGCAGAGGGGGGGUAGAAUUCCACGUGUAGCAGUGAAAUGCGUAGAGAUGUGGAGGAACACCGAUGGCGAAGGCAGCCCCCCUGGGUCAAGAUUGACGCUCAUGCACGAAAGCGUGGGGAGCAAACAGG
Molecule: ribosomal RNA, 256 nt
Filed under: uncultured bacterium
Lineage: Bacteria
Description: partial 16S ribosomal RNA
Rfam family: Bacterial small subunit ribosomal RNA
Source: RNAcentral